CCUGUCCAAGCAUGUCCAGGGGCUGCUCCCCACAGCAGUCCUGACAGUCAAUGCCAGCGGGACACCAGGCACAGAGAGGGCAGGUGCUUGCCCGAGGCCACACAGCCUGAGGUAAGGUUGAGCCACCAAGGCAGCCGCAGGGCCAGACAGACCAGGGGGCCGGCAUCUAGUGUGCAGCUCUCAGGCCUCCAAAGGCCAAGGUCAGAACUUCUCUGUUCUUCGUGUCACCCCGGCCCCUUCUGCACUGGUCCUGGGCGGAGUGGCAUGUGAGCCCCGAGGCUGGCCUGUACCAGGCCUCCUGGGGACGGCUGGACCUCAGCCACACCCAGGCAGGGCCUCUGGUGUGGACUCUGGGUUGGCAUCUCUGUGAAGUCCACCGGCAGAUGCUGACCCCCUGGAGUCUGAGGACUGCCCACCGAUGCAGGCUUGCCCAGCCCCGUGGUAGACACUGCAAGUCCCUGGGCGGGACACCAGGGCCCAGUGAGUGUGGGACACGGUCCAUGGGACAGAGACAAGAUUCUACUCAGGGAGGCCCAGAAGCCUUCAUGCCGAAGGUGAGGCGGAGGUGAGGCAGGGUCCAGCCGCAGAGCCCGGGAAUAGGGGCUGCCCCGACUUGAGCACGUCGCAACUAACAUGCUCAAGUCCAGGGGGAGACAGGACGCCACGGGGACCGAUCACACCACUCAGGGCUGAGUCUGAGCUGUGGGCCAGCCCCAUGUGACAGGCCCAGCACCCAGAGUCUCCACUGGGGAUGAGACAUGCCUGGCCCUGGGAGAGAGUGGCUGAGGGGACAGGGAGGGUCUCUUGACACCCUGAAGAUGAGCCAGGAAAUGCAGAGAGGAAGAAGCAUAGGUGGAGCACGUGCAGGGGUCCUGGGGCAGGAGGGCGUGGGUGACGCUGGGGCAGGGAAGGGAGGCUGAAUGAGGUCAGGAGGGGCAGCUGAGGGACCAGAGGGGUCAGGCCAGUCCUGCACGGCAGCUCAGGGACAAGUGGUAUUUACAUGAAAUACAGAUUCGUGGGUCUCACAGAGACCUGCUGGGUUGAGGUCUGCAGGGCCAGGGCCUGGGCAUCUGUCUGGGACAUUGCUGGACGAUGAGAUGUCAUCGUGUGGGGUAGGGGAGAAAGGGCAAAGAUGAAAAGUGUCAGGGCGGCAGAACAGACCCCGGUGUGGCGGGGAGGGGACAACAGGGCAGGAGCCCCCAGGGAGCAGGAGUCUCAGAGACGGCUAGAGGUGACCAGAACAGAUGGACCCCCUGGUGGCCCCUGCGCCGACGUAAGCUGAAGGGAGUCUGCGGGCUGGCUCCCACGCACCACUGGAGGGAGGACUCUUUCUCAGCAGCUGCACACGCCCUCGACGUGGCCGGAAAGCGGCUGGGGCGACGGCGUCCCCCCGCAGGUGGCGUUGACUAGGGGCAGGAGCGUCUGUGAAGGGGACAAACAGGAUUCUCGGUGCUGCACUAGUGGGGACAGAGGAGCAGGAGGGUCACAAGGAAGGCUGGGCAGCACUGACAGAACCUAGUCCCUGUCCUGUGCCCAUCAAUGGCAUCUGCCACCUCUGGGCUUCUGGUCCCGGCUGUCUUCUGAAACCACAGGUGAGAGGUCCCCCUGAGUGGGAGCAGGGCUGGGAUGAGACGCAGAAUCGCCCUCUGAGCAGGUCGUGUGGGUUUGGAGACGCAUUUCCAGUUCAUGGAACAAAUCCCCGCCCCUCUGGGGGCUGCAGGAUUCCUCUGCAGGUAUCCCCCAGGGGGGAGGGUGGACAGGCAGGUAGACAGGGAGAACCGAAGCUGGGACGGACAACCUGCUCAUUCUCUGCUUUUAAUAGUGACUAGUCAAUUUCCUUCCCGAAGAGACCAGCGCUGACCUUCACCUCCAGCCCCCAUUAGCUGCCAGUAAUGCUUUGCCAGAGUAUUGAUGACAAAUUAAUUAUGCAGAGAGGGCAGAUUUCAUAGGAAAAAUGGAUGCUCUGGUCUGGGCUGGAGUGGGAGCCGUGGUGUUCCCGCCUCCCACAGCCCGGGGAACCAGCGCCCUCAGGAACGCGCAGAGGCUGGCUACGGGUCCCCAGCUCAUGCGGAAGGCAGUCAGUCCCGGAGCCGAGAACCAGACGCAGUUGUAAGCCCUCCGACUUGGUGGCUGGUAUUUGACGUGAUCUGGAGGCUCCAGCCCCCGGCGUGGCUGCGGUGACUUUUCCCCAGCAGGGCUGUGCCGUCCAGCUCGGGGGACAGGAGCCCUGCUCCCGUGAUGACCGCAGCUGCCUCAGGCUCAGAGCCGCUGGGUUCUCGGGCCGCCGGGUGGCCUCCUGGCUUCCCUUGAUUCCUGGGAGUGGCCCAACGCGGUCCCCUGCUUUCUUUGCUGUGGGCUCCCGGCCACCCUACUCUUCUGCAGUCUCUGAGUAAGUUGCCCGUCCGGCCUCCACGCCUUGGCCAGGGCGGUCCCUGCCUGGAGCGCCAUUCCCAUCCCACCAACUGCCCCUCAGUGUGGCCUGGCAGACGGGGCUCCAGGGCUCUCUGCUCCCUGAGAGGCCUCCUGGGCUGUGUGCCUCACUGUCCCAUGUCUCCUGACGGUCACGGCUCCUGACCGUGAGCCGCCACGAGGGUGGGUCUUCUCCCCACUCUGCAGCCCCAAGCAGGGCUCGGCUUGCAGCAGGUGGCCAGCAAGGAGCUUUGUCCCACAGUCGCUGUCCCUGGAGGUGUGAAAGUGAACAGACAGGGCCACAGAGCCCCGUAAAGUCCCCAGCCUUGGAGGGGACCCCUGAGGUUGUGCAAGGGACUCCUGAGGUUCUUGCCUGUCCAGCGGUCCCACGAAGGCUGAGCAAGGGGGACCCGCUGACGGUCUCCUUGUUCCAAGGAUCAGCCCUGUGACUCAGAUUGGCCAGUCCCUGCUGAUUGGUCAGAGAAGGUCACCUGACCCCUGGGCCAGCCAAAGACUUGCUUGGGACUGCAGAAGGUCAGGGAGCAAUUUGCUCUCUGAGAGUUCAGCUAAGGAAUCCUAGAUCAAUUCUAGAGAAGGGAGGAUUCUAGAGGUCAGGUGGGCAUGACAGUCCUUGAAGGCAGGACUUCAGGGAAGAGAAGAGUGUGGGUGGGCGUCUCAGUGCAUCCGGCUGCUGUAGCAAAACACCUCUGACUGGGCACUUUAUAAACACUAGAAGUUUAAUGCUCACAGCUCAGGGGGCUGGGAAGGCCGACGCCAAGGUGCCACAGCUCCGUGUGCCGAGGGCUGCUUGUUUUGAAGAUGGCACUUGUUGCUGUGUCCUCCCAGGGAGGGAGGCUGUGCGCAAAGGGGAGAAACCAGCUCCCUCAGCCUCCUGUCAGGGCGCCCGUUCUGUCACGAGGGUCUGUCAUUGCCAGGCCCCCCCAUUGCUGCGGCUCUGGGGGAGCUUAGACGUGAGUUUGCGACGUGAGCGCACAAGUGCUCAGACUCGCGCAGGCAGCCGUAGCGGAAGGCCAAGAGGCAGGACCUGCCCAGGCCCCAGAGAGAACAGAGAGCCCACCCAGCCAGCCCUCCUCUCGGCACCAAGGCCGCCUCUGGCCAGUCUUCAGCCUGAGCCCUUCCCCACCCUGAAAGCCGGCUCCUGCUGGCCAGAUGUGGGCAGCGGGCAGGUCCAGAGUCCAUGAGACAAGACACCCUGCGCAGGUUCCCCGGCACCUGCCGCCUCCCAAGUGCAGCCCCAGGUCCCUGCUACUCGCCCCCCUCCAGCUCCCUGCGUCCACCCACAGAGACACUGUGCUCUGCAGCGGGGGGACUGCUGUUUCCAAGGGUCAUCUCCCUCAGCUUGGGGGUGAGCUGCGCAGGAUUGCCCGGGGCUUCCUGGCCCCCGUCUUCGGGGACCUCGCUUGUGGACGGCUCGGCUUCAGAACUGGGAUCUGUGGGAAGAGAAGACAUCAUCGAAGGAGCACGAGGCCCCUGGAGUAACCAAGGCCAUCCAAAGAACUGGGGACUGAGGCCAUGGUCCCCUCCUUGCCCAGUGGACACCUGAGCGUCCUCGCUCCCAGGCCCAGCCCUUUCUGAACACUGCGGCAGCUCCGGCUCCCCUCAGGCCCUUGGCUUUGCCCGGAUGGCCUCCAGCGGGGCGGUAAAAUCCCGGGCCUCACCACGGUCCCCGCUUGCCCAGUGGCUGCCCCCCCCCCCCGCUCACUCCAAAUAAGAUGUGGCUUUCACCUGGGCCUCCAGCCUCAGCCGCCCCUGUCACAGCCACGGCCCUGGGCCCAGGGGGUCAGCCCUCUUGCUCCCUAGCCUCUGCCUGGUCACCAGCCGGCCACCCUUGUCCCCAGCCCAGGGCUUUCCCAGGUUUCCGCUGGGCAGGAGCUCCUUAGCCACACAUCCACCCCACCCCUGGCCUCCCCAACUGCCCCUCUGCAUCUGCAGGAGGCUCCCUGCCUGGCCCGGGAACUCGCCCCUCCCCCAGGCCCUACGUGGUCUCACUGAUUCCCGGGACGUCCCAGGGUCCUGGAGACAAGUGGGAAGGUGGGAGUGAGGCCUGGGUCUGCUCACUGUGCUGGGGCUUCAAGGACGGACCCUCAGGACCUGGGAUACAUGACCCUCGACUGCAGAGGCCGGCGGAUGGAGGCUGGCCUGUCCACUAGAGUCUGCCAAUCUGGUUUUGUGACCACUGGCGAGAUUUUAUCCCAAGUCCUGGAAGACCGGGAGCUGAAUCCCCCCGCACCACCUUCUCCACACUGAAAGCAGAACCUCGGCCGCCCGCCUCUGCUCCAGGCCCUUCUCUGGCUCCCACUGCCUCUCCCCUCCCACAGCACCCCCUCUGCAGCCUGGAGCUGGGCUCUGGUGCAUGCACACCCCCACCCGCCUCUAGGCUGUUGCCUGUGCUGUUCUGCCCACCAGAAGGACCCCUCUGCUGACACUCAGCUGGGCCCAGGCUGCCCAGCCCACCUUGGGGCCACAUGCAGGCCCCUGGAGUGGGUGCAGAAGAGGGAGGUGAGCUCCCUCCCAGGGGGUGGCCAGCGCUCUGUGACCACUCCUCCCUCUCCCGGCUGAUGGCAGUUUCAACCCCACAGUCAGGACAGAGUCCUGGGACAGCUGAGCAUCAGCAGAGAAGGACUCAGAGGAGAGGUCGGAGGCCCAGCGAGAGUGAGGCUCUGGACUGGAAGAGGUGACGUCAGUAGCCACUCCACCUGUCCUCACCAUCAUCCACCCUGCUCCCAGCCCUGGGAAAUGGGCGGCUGGGGGCCAGGGGAGGGGACCAGCCCACCUGCGCCCUCCUUCAGCUCCCCGGGGUCCUGCCGGCCAUCUCCAGGCCCCGCGGCUGCACCUGGCCUGGCGGUCUCUGGGCCUGCCGGGAGGACGGUCAUCCUGUUGCUGUUGCCGAUGGUGGUGUAUUCGAGGAAGCAGGACUUGAUGUGGACUCUCUGGACUGCGUCCGCCUUGGGGUGAGGGUCUGGCUGGGGCAUUCGCAUUUCAAAUGAAGCUUCCGAGUCACCGUCACCGGCCGUGGCUGAGACUGCGCACCAGCCAAAGAGACGCCGGAGGGUGGGCAGCUGGACGGUGGCCCCAGAGCCCAGCUCCCAGCCUGGCUCCAAGUCCUCCUUGCUGACUUCACCAGUGGCCGCCUGGCUCAGUCAACAGCCGAUGCCCACGCCCUGUUCACCACCAGGCAGCCACUCCUCCUGUCCUCCAGAGCCCCCAGAGGACCUGGCACCUCAGCCUUUCUCUGGGCCCCAGUGAUUCCUCCCUCAUCUCAUCUCUCUGCUUCCUGGCAGGGCUGGGUCAGGGUCUCCACCUUUGGUUUUGCUCAUGCCCAGCCCCAGCCCCUGCCAUCUGGCUCCUCCACCCAGACUUCUGGAAAGAGCUGUCCACACUCAGUCUGGUCUCCCUCCCGACCUCCGAUCCUUGCUGGCAGAACCCCACACUCUUCCCCUGGCUGACCUCUCCCCCAGUUGGGCCCCUGCUCCCGGGCCCCCUAUCCCGUCUGUCCCUGCCUGGGAGGCCCUGGCUCAGGGCCUCUGGUCACUGUGCUGACCCUGCUUCAGCUGGCCAGCCUCGGCUUCUCGGAGAGGACGUGCUGCUCUUACAGAUGGGGAAACCGGUCUCCGGCUGGUCGGUGCUAGGGGACGGGGACCCAGCGUGCCAUCUCUAAAUACCCCACCUGUCCCACAGAGUUUCAGUCUCUUGGAAGGAAAAGACCCCCUGAAAAGACUCUGGCUCCUGUUCCUGCCCCCCCGGAACUGAGUGGGGCGGGGGAGAACGUGGCCACAGGACUCCAGUUACCUGGGGGGCUGGAUGAGAGGUUGUGGGCAGGACCUUCCGGCAGGUCUCUGUGGAAGCUCAUCUUGUUGCUGUGUCCCACCUGCACCCGUCUGAGCAGGGACCACUCCAGGUGGAUUUCCUGGGACCCCCAGCCACCUGCCAGGGGUCCCUGAGCCGAGGAAUCACCUGGGGCAGUUGGGGGCAGCUGGUUGGGAGCUGUGGGACCUAGAACAGUGACACAGUGUUAGGAGGGGCACCAGGAUGUCUGGACUGGAGAGCAGGUAGCCAAGGAGCUGCAGCCAGGGUGUCCUGAGUGGGGCCCUGCCCAGGGUCCCACGGGGACACCUGCAGUCUCAGUAGUCACCCGUUGCCUGCUUCCUGGUCCUUCUCAGCCUUCUGAUCCCAUCAGGAGACCCUUCCGUGGUGUAAGCGUGUUCUCAACACGUCAUUUCAUCUCCCGGACAUUUAUCUUUAUGGUGAACUUCAUGGCUUUCAACUUAGGGGAAAGCUAAAAUUUUUAUUUUAAAAUAUAUUCAAGUCGGGGGUGGGGAGUGAACCAUUCAACAGCACUGAUUAAACAAACAGGGACGUAGCCAAAAUCAAGGAGGUGACAUGGGAGGAUUCACACUGGGGAGAUGAUCAUCAAGACAUCAGAACAGAGUUCCUCAUCUCACAUCUGGGAGACUGAGGCCCAGGGGAGAGCCUUGCUCUCCCAAGGUUAUGGGAUGCGUCUGAAUUUGGGGCAGGUGUUCUCACACAGGGUGCCGGGCUGGACUGAAAGAAGUUGGCAUCCUUGCGCCCUGGUGCCUGGCAUGGAGCCUGUUCAGCCUGCAGCUCUGCAUUUCAACAAAACGAACAUGUCUCUGCUGACCUGUACCCCAACCUCCAACACAUGCUGAUGUGGGGAAAGAAGUGUGUCCAGAGAAAAUGAAAUAUUUCCACAGUGCACUUGUGAUAUUCUGCUGACAAAGAAGAAUUUGAAUUAUUUCUCAUUGAAUUAUUUCUCAAAAUACUGCAUUCCAUUAAAAAGAGCAGAAGGUAUUGGAGUGAAGGGACAGCAGGAGAGGUUGGAUCCAGGCUCCCUCAUUCUCACAACAGCUAUAAAGGAGGGCCGUGGACAUUGGGAAGCUGUCCUUCCUCCUUGGAGGAUUGAGUCCCCCCACAAGCCCUCUGAGGUCCGUCCUCCUGGGUGCCUGUCAGAUGACUUACCGCUGUCCUCAGAGACGUUCUGCUUCAUUAAGAUGUUCCCGUGUCCGAUCUGGAUGCCUUCAGAGUUUGUGAUGGGGUCUGAGGCUCCAGAUGCCAGUUGGCAGCACCAAAUUUCCCUGGAGAGUUUGUUAAAAGGAUUCCCAGGCACCAGAUCUGGGAAUCUGGGAACCUGCGUGGGGUGACUCCAGCCUCACAUGAUGGACAGCUGCUCGGGUGUCACAGACGGAGCUCAGGGUCAAGAUGGCAGGUGGCCCCCCUGGUGUCUUGCUGCCCCGCCACCCAGGCCCAGGAUGGCUCCUGGGAGGAUUGCAGGAGUCACGUCCUCUCUCCCUACCCUCUGUCCCCCUCCCUGGGAGGCACCCACAGCUCCAGGCCCUGAACCCCAGGGGCCUCUCCCCUGUAUCAAACACUCAGAUGCCCCCCAUGACUAGUGACAUUGAUUUGAACUUGUCACCGAUUUGAACUCCAGAUGCUAUCCCACCUCAUCAAUCCUUCCCCACGUUGCUGACCCCACAUGGGCACUGUGGGGGUGUGGGGAGGCUCCUUCCCCAGCUCUGCGGACCCACCAGCCACAACACCACCUCCAAGGCCCUUGGCCGUGGUGUCUUUGUGGGUGGGCUCUUUCAUCCAUAUGGAAAUAAAAUUAAAUUAUACUUUA
Molecule: long non-coding RNA, 8065 nt
Organism: Marmota monax (woodchuck)
Lineage: Eukaryota; Metazoa; Chordata; Mammalia; Rodentia; Sciuridae
Exons: 7
Source: RefSeq, a predicted model, not a curated record